RNAcentral lists this long non-coding RNA (277 nucleotides) under Elaeis guineensis (African oil palm). RNAcentral describes it as "long non-coding RNA (EGUI_LNC050323)". The record is from RNAcentral. Lineage: Eukaryota; Viridiplantae; Streptophyta; Magnoliopsida; Arecales; Arecaceae.
AUUCACCAAAUCAUAAAAAAUUUGAACUGCCUAAUCACUUUCUUUGACAUUCAUUGUGUUGGUGCAAAAAUCUGCCUGCAUCGGAGAAGCUAGAGUCGAGGGAGUCGUAGUCGCCGUCGGGACCUGCAAAAGAAGUCUAAACCGGAGGUGGGGUUGCUCCAGCAAGACCCUCCGAUGCUCAAGUCAGUUCUCUGCCUCAACAAGAAUGGAGUGCUCGAACAAAAAUUUUAGCAGAGUUUUUAGGUAAGAAAUGAGAGCUUAGAGAAUAACGUAUCUG